RNAcentral lists this ribosomal RNA (226 nucleotides) under Helicobacter pylori. Its description in RNAcentral is "partial 23S ribosomal RNA". It matches the Rfam family "Bacterial large subunit ribosomal RNA", at positions 1931 to 2156 of the family's 2925-position model. The record is from RNAcentral. Lineage: Bacteria; Pseudomonadati; Campylobacterota; Epsilonproteobacteria; Campylobacterales; Helicobacteraceae.
CGGCCGUAACUAUAACGGUCCUAAGGUAGCGAAAUUCCUUGUCGGUUAAAUACCGACCUGCAUGAAUGGCGUAACGAGAUGGGAGCUGUCUCAACCAGAGAUUCAGUGAAAUUGUAGUGGAGGUGAAAAUUCCUCCUACCCGCGGCAAGACGGAGAGACCCCGUGGACCUUUACUACAACUUAGCACUGCUAAUGGGAAUAUCAUGCGCAGGAUAGGUGGGAGGCU